GCCGAGCUCGGUUGCGUGGGCUUGUAAUCCAAGUGGAGGCAUUAGGGCGGUGGGACGUUGAUCUUGCCCAGAUGACCGAGUCUUGUGUGACUAUUCUCUGACCUGCCCGUUCCAAGCCAAGAGUUGAGCCUCGUGGUCCGGGCGAAGGCCUGAGUCACAAGGCUCCUAAAGUGGGGGGCAAUGCGUGAGGCUGGUUUCACAGAGCAGCGAUUACCUCCCGCUCCUGGCAGUGGAAGGAUAACAGGUCAGUGUCACCUGGACUCGUAUGGUCUGAUGGGUUGAUCUAACUGGACCGUCGCCUU
Molecule: signal recognition particle RNA, 302 nt
Filed under: Salix viminalis (osier)
Lineage: Eukaryota; Viridiplantae; Streptophyta; Magnoliopsida; Malpighiales; Salicaceae
Rfam family: Plant signal recognition particle RNA
Source: RNAcentral